AGUUCUCAUUGUGACCCAGGGACCAUUACAGUAAAAGGAACCUGCCUAGGGAACUUGCUCAGCUCUCUCUAAACACAGUCAGCUCCAUGUUCCCAACUGAAUGUCACGUCAAUGCGUCGAUGUUAAUUCCGGUAAACUGAAUCCACCCGAGAAUCUUGUUGUGGAAGCAAAAUCGGCUUAAAAGGCUUCUUUGAUGCACAGGGAAUUCUCACAAGCAAUAAAUUAAAAAUAAUCAACGAGUUAUUUUAUAUAAUCUGUAUAUAAUAUAAAGUAAUUGUGUCCAUAAAUAACGAGGCAGUUAAACAGGAAAAGAAAGGAUUUUUACCUGACGUUCACAUCGCUUCACAAGGUUUAGUGGAUUCAGAAGGACAUCUGGACUCCAGGAAAAUUUAAGCGUAGCAUUUUGAGACUUCCCUAAGGCCCCCUUCUCUAGUACGCAAUCGCGGAUUCACCAGCUUGAGUCAGUUGGCCUCAGUUUUGCUUUUGGAGGUUUAAGUCGGGUGGUGGGAAGAGAUACAUUUCCAUUCCUGAUAUGGCCACAAGAGGGAGCUCCCAAUGGUCGGCUGCACCUGAAAGUCCUGUCCGUGAAAACUGACAAAGAAAACUUGAUUUAAAAGGCGUCUUCUGAUAAACCUCAGCAUCUCCUUACUAACAUACUAAGAGCAAUCACUGAACACUUUUCGUAUGUUCAAUGCGUCCUCGCGGGAUCUGAGAAGCAUUGUCCUAUUAAAUCUCAGUCGUCUGAUUUUCAGCAUCAAUUUAUCUUGGGAGCUGCUCCUGCAUUUUAUAAGGUGAAUUCUACAGCAACGAGAUUAAAGAUUCAGAAAGUCUUAUUGGCUGUGCAAACUUGAGGGAGUUGCCUAACCACUCUGGGCCCUGUUUUCCUGGCUUUGCCACUCUUCAGCUGUGUGACCCGGGGAAGCUCUCAACCUCUUUGUGCCUCCAUUUCCACAUCUGUAAAAUGGGGAUAUGAAAGUGGCUGCUUUGUGAAGAGUCCUGAGAAUAAAUGAGUUAAGGAAAACUGAUAUGGAUAAAUAUGGAAGAGAGCUGGCCAGUGGAUGAAAUGGUGAUGUAAAGGUUAAGAGAAAUAAAAGCAGGAGACGAGGAGAGAGUCACACCACGGUGAGCAGAGAGUUGAGCUGGGGCCCGGGACAAGCAUCAAAAGUGUCACUUCCUCUGAGGUCCCAACCCUACUUCCAUAGGCUCUGCAGCCCACACCACCUUGGAACCAAACAGGGAGGUGGCAGAACUGAUGGGCUGGCCGCACCACCUUAAAUCUCUUAGCUCCAAAACUGGAGGUGCUCAUCAGGACCCUGCAUCAUUUCUGUGGGUGAUGGAUGGUGUGAGCUGCGAAGGAGAGGCUGAUACCUCUGCAGAAGAAUCAGGAAGCCAGCUUAAGAGGUUUUCUUUAGGUGGCAUGCAAAUAGACUCCCCUCCUGCAGAUCUUCAUCUCACCUUCAUUAUACCCCAGGCCAGAGAAAUUUCCAUCAUGAGCACUCCUGACCGCCAAACCUCUGGCAUCCCAUGCUGAUUUCUUUCCUAAAAAUACACAGACUCUCACUCCAUGGGGAAGAAAAAAUGCAACUCUGCCAUUUCCAGUGUGCUUCCUGAAGGCUGAUGACGGCCGAGAGCAAUUCAUCACCACUCGUGCAUUCAGGUUUUGAAUUUUUCCUUCACAGAUCUCUUCUUGUUUAUCUGGUGGACAAUGUGACAAGAACCAGAUGUGUCUCAACCUCAACAUCCUCCCCAUAGCUAUGCAGGGGGAGAAACAACCAGACCAGCUAGAUAUCCUCCUUAGUACAACAGAAAACUAUCCAAAAUUUCUGGACCACUUUCAAGAGUGGGGCCUUGAAUGUAAAAAGAGUGGGGCAUGCAAUUGCAUGUUUGUUAAUUGUUAAAUGGACCAGUUGAUUGAAUGGUGUCUAUUCAGUAUGAUUUUUCUUCUGGCUAUGCAUAUUUUAUUGCACUUUUUACUUUAUCUCAAGGUGCUGCCAAAUUCAAAAUCAUGCUAGAAAUGAAAGUCUUUCUCUGGGAGAGUAUAGCAGGGUGUCUUAGAAAGAAAAUACAAUGUCUGCUGAUCAGAGGGAAAGUUAUUGCUUUGCCAGUCCCUAUUGGAUAACCAUGGCAGGCAAUUCAUAUAGUUUUCAUGUCUAUUUCCUUCUCUCUGAAAUUAGAAUAAUACCUGCCCUGCAAUAAACUUCAGAGCUAUUUAUGAACAAAUGAGGUGAGUACUAAUGUGCAUUGGAAAAAUAUAAAGCUUUGCUAAAUGUAAGGUGGCCUUAUCAUCCACUGUCCAAUAACACAGUGCUCUUCAUGUCUAAGAGUUAUUUUUAGAGUCUUGAUAAUAGACCCAUUCCCGACCCCAUGGAGUAUGGGGACAAGCCCCCUUUAAGGAAAGGCCUUAAAGCCACAUGGCCGCACAGAGGGAUCAGUCCAGGAGCCUCGCCACAAAGUUCAUAAAGAAGAAAUAAGCUGAGCAGACGACCACCCAGUGGGUGAUGGGAGGGAAAGUAGAAGAAAGAUCCACCCCCUCCUUCAAGCUGAUCUCCACUGGGGACGGUCCACAUAUUUCUCUGCUUUGCAUUUUUGCUGUUGCUUGGUUGGUUUUUUGUUUUACAUUAUUACUGGAAGAAUGCUUCUUGCAGAAGUUGUUUAAAACUUCAGGGAUUCUUGGGAUGGAGCAGUAAGAUUAAUGAAGCAAAGAUAUCACCACCCCGUGCCAAGAACAUCUAUGCUCCUUUAGUAAGUUGGCCAGAACAAAUAUCUCCUUCCACAGCACAGGCGCUCUGUAGACUACAGGCUUUAGUCUUGUAUAAAAUAACAUUAUAAAAAAGGAAAACCUGAUUGCAGUUGAGUGGGUCACCCCCUUCUCACACCCCACCCAUCACCUGUUUAGAUCGUUCUUUCACCUCCUAAUUCCCCAUCUGGACUCAACAGCUCUCCCCAUCCUAAGCCCAGCAUCCUGUGUUUCCUGGUUUCCCAGAAUCUGGCAAUGUGAGCAGAAUAGUGAGUGCAGGGGGUCAGUCGCUCAUUUACCCUCAGAGGGGCAGCUGGGAAUGUGAUACCUCUCUGCAGUAGCAACACUGUGAAAAGAUGCCACCUUGCCAUCUCUACAGGUGGCUGGAAUUGGGAACAUCACUUUGAUCUGGCAUAGUUGCUGGGACUGUCUAAAUAUCUCCUACAGUUUGCCAAGUACCCAUUUUUCUGCCCAGGUUUAUCUGAGUGGUUCCAUGCAACAGAAAGAAUAGCUUGCCAUCUUUAGGACUGGAGGAAUGGCAAAGCUCUUUCCCUUUCAGCCUCCAAUGGGGGGACCUGGGCAUUUGUAGCCUGUUCAAAGAAACCAAGAGGGAAAAAAAAGUGCAGAAGAAAAGUAAUUUGCACUUAAAAAUGAAAACAAACCACUUUUCUCCUGUUUGCUUGGUAUUUUGCAGAAGUUUCAAGUAACAACACUACUAUGCGUGGGUGAGUUCGUUCAUUAAAAUCCGUGGUUUCUGAGGCUAGAAGCCUCAGCCUACAGUCCCAGAAUGUACCCAAGAGUGCUGAUGUAACAUCAAUGCUUCAUUCUCUGAGUGCUAUUUAUUGUCUCAAUCUUCAUUGCUUAAAGUCAGGAAACAACAAACACAUUCAUAUUUGUGGCAAAACAUCUACCUACUCAUGACAUGGCAAAUAGUCAUUUUACAAUAACAAUACAGUACAAUAUGAUCGUGCUACUUUCAUGGCUAGGAAUGAAGUUGUUGGGUUUCUCUUUCAGAGCUACCCCUAAAGGCAUUCACUUUAUAUUCUCUGAAGAGAACCAGCUAACCAGGCGGAACAUCCACUAAGAAUCUUCCACAUAACCAGACCCCAGGAGCUUGCCUAUUGCCCAUACCAGAGAGGCCCAUUUGGAAAUACACCAUCUGGUCUCUUGAGCACAGACCUGGAGUGUGGGAUUCAGCUUGGCUGGCUCCAAAGCUGGCCCCUACUGAUCAGCCUGAGAUCCCCAGCCUGCACAGGCUGAUUCCACUGCCAACACGUGGCCCCAUGUGGGUCCUGGCGGGGGUUCCUUUGGUAAAGUACUGGGAGAGGAAGGAGUCUUCCUAUCUGAGUAUCUUGGGUUGUGAUUUGGUGUGGGCUGCACUGGCAGUGCAAUAGCAGCAACUCAACAAAACAGGACUGUUACACAAGCGGGGCGGAAGGCAGGUGGGCUGGCAGGGAAGUUGGUAUUCGAUUACUUGAAAUAUUAAGUUGUCCAGAGGGCAAGGACACGCACAAAUCAAAGGGCCACCUCUAGGUUUCAAAGCAGGUCGAGAUCUGUGUAAAGUCCCCUUUGACUUCAUAAAAUCUCACUUCAAAAAUUCUACCGAAUGCUCAUCAGACGGAAAUAACUGUUUCAUCCCUCUAAAGGAUGAAAUGAAAAGCACCAGUCUUUGGCCUGCCUGCUGGUUACCCACAAACUCAACGGGUGGGUUCUGAGAAGCAGAUGAGCCAUGAAGAGCAUCAAACAAGCAUUACUGCUCUGGCCACCACCAGGGUCACCUUUGAACCGUAAGAAAGAGGGAAAAACUCCUUUGAGUCACUCCUGGGCCUACAGCCUGUGCUGGGUCUAGACAUGUGUCACCAGAGUAUUGUCUUUGUGGCAGAGGAAGCAAUGUCAAACACUAAAUUGUUAACAUAUCCAUGACAAGCAUUCAUAUGAGCCAACAAAAUCACCAAGGUUCUGCUAUUAAGGAGGAUUCAGGAAGACUGGGCAUUACUUUCAGGAAACUGGGAUGACUCAAAAUAGCACUGCUGAGUGUUACAAGAUUUUUAAACUAAUAAUCAGCAAAUCUUUUCAGCAGACUUUUGGCUUUAAGAGUUCUUACCAAAAAGAUUGCUAAAGUGGAAUGAGAGGGGCUCAAAGUUUUUUUUUAUUUCAUUAUAAGUGCUGUCCCAUCUUAUCCAAUUGUCUUCUUCCUCAUCAAAAAGCGGGGGGGAAGCAUAUUACAUUUCUAGAUGAUAAGAGUAAAUGCUGUACUCUUUUCUCAGAAAUUACAGGCUUUAAGAUUUUUUUUUAAAUGGUAGAAUGGGCAUGUCAUGCAGUUAGCCAAUAAAUGCAAUCCCUGAUUAAAAUGUGAGUUCUAAAAGUUUGAAAACAUCUAACUAUUUCAGUGCUUUUUAAUUUCAGAGCUCUGAGCCUGGCUUUGAUUUGUUUGUUGAUUUUUCUUGGUCCUCUUUUGUGAGAGCUAAUGCUACAUUUCUCUUAGUUUCACCCACCACACCUUCACAAACUUAAGUCAACAAUUAUAUGUUCAAAAAUCUUUGUUUUCCCUUUGAAACUGGAUGCAAAAAAGAAAUCUCUCCUGUCGGUGGAGACAGCUGUGAAUGAACGAGGCGCCUGCACGUAAAUCUCCUUAAACUUUUUGAAUAGCUGCUUCUCUUUAUCCCACUGGUAUAUCUGAGAGAAUGUAUAGUCACUCCCCAGGGCCAGGUAGUGAUUAUCUUUAAAAGAAAAGGGCUGCAGGGUCAUGGCCCCCCGGGAUGGAAGAGCUUGGAUCUCCACAAACUGCUUACUGUUCCACCUCAUGACCCGGGAGUCCCCGAUGAAGCGGGUAAGGGAAAGGUAGAGGGUAUUUUGCAUUCGGAAGCUCUUCACAGCCAGUACGUCCUCCAUGUUGGGGAUGUCACCAUGGGGGACAAACUUCUUAGAGCUUUUAUUCCACUGGAGGAUGAUGGGGACCUGGGAGCGGCUGGACAGGAUGAGAUGCGAUUUUCCAUCGAUAUCAACAAACUCCGCAUCCGUGUCCCUGAACCACUCGUGCAGUGACUGGUAAGAAUAGAAUCCUUUGCUGUUCCAUUUAUAAACUGUGGACAGACCAGCCUUUGAGCUGUCUGCGAUGACAAAGAACGUCUCGUCGUCGAUCUGAAACAGCUCGAUGUCAUUGGGCUUGGAAAUGCGAGAGACCUCUAUGUCUUGGAAUUUGACAAAUUUGGUCCAACUCUCGUCGUAUUUGUAAAUGUGAGAGCCACCGAAGAGCUGGGCUACCACCACAAAGACCUGAUCAUCGAUGAGAAUGGCCUUACAGCCCACGAUGGACUGACCUGUGCUCCAAAAUAAAGGAGAGGACAUUAGUGCAACUACAGCUAAAAACGCAUCUCCGCUUGUACUCUUAUACACUGCUGGUGGGAGUGUGAAAUGGCACAGCCACUAUGGAAAACAGUAUGGUGGUUCCUUGAAAAAUUAAACAUGGAAUUACCCUAUGAGCCAGCAAUUCCACUUCUUUGUAUAUACCCAAAAUAAUUGAAAGCAGUGACUCAAAGAGAUAUCUGUACACCUAAUGCUAUAGACCAAAUGUUUGUGCUCUCUCCAAAUGCAUAUGAUGAAACCUCAUCUCCAAUGUGAUGGUAUUUGGUGGUGGGGCCUUUGGGAGGUGAUUAGGUCAUGGGAGCAGAGUCCUCAGGAAUGGGAUUAGUGCCUUCCAACUCCCUCUGCCCUUUCACCACAUAGACACAGCAAAGAGGUGGCCAGCUAUGCAGUGGGUUCUUGCCACAUACCAAAUCUGCCAAUGUCUUGAUCUUGGACUUCCCAGGCC
RNAcentral lists this long non-coding RNA (6548 nucleotides) under Homo sapiens (human). RNAcentral's name for it is "HSALNT0318739". The record is from RNAcentral. Lineage: Eukaryota; Metazoa; Chordata; Mammalia; Primates; Hominidae.